This 79-nucleotide ribosomal RNA is filed under the name Accumulibacter sp. RNAcentral's name for it is "partial 16S ribosomal RNA". It matches the Rfam family "Bacterial small subunit ribosomal RNA", at positions 1 to 79 of the family's 1533-position model. The record is from RNAcentral. Lineage: Bacteria; Pseudomonadati; Pseudomonadota; Betaproteobacteria.
GAACUGAAGAGUUUGAUCCUGGCUCAGAUUGAACGCUGGCGGCAUGCCUUACACAUGCAAGUCGAACGGUAGCGCGGGG